AUUGAACGCUGGCGGCAGGCCUAACACAUGCAAGUCGAACGGUAACAGGAAACAGCUUGCUGUUUCGCUGACGAGUGGCGGACGGGUGAGUAAUGUCUGGGAAACUGCCUGAUGGAGGGGGAUAACUACUGGAAACGGUAGCUAAUACCGCAUAACGUCGCAAGACCAAAGAGGGGGACCUUCGGGCCUCUUGCCAUCGGAUGUGCCCAGAUGGGAUUAGCUAGUAGGUGGGGUAACGGCUCACCUAGGCGACGAUCCCUAGCUGGUCUGAGAGGAUGACCAGCCACACUGGAACUGAGACACGGUCCAGACUCCUACGGGAGGCAGCAGUGGGGAAUAUUGCACAAUGGGCACAAGCCUGAUGCAGCCAUGCCGCGUGUAUGAAGAAGGCCUUCGGGUUGUAAAGUACUUUCAGCGGGGAUGAAGGGAGUAAAGUUAAUACCUUUGCUCAUUGACGUUACCCGCAGAAGAAGCACCGGCUAACUCCGUG
RNAcentral lists this ribosomal RNA (490 nucleotides) under uncultured bacterium. RNAcentral's name for it is "partial 16S ribosomal RNA". It matches the Rfam family "Bacterial small subunit ribosomal RNA", at positions 30 to 507 of the family's 1533-position model. The record is from RNAcentral.